CGGGAGGCAGCAGUGGGGAAUAUUGGACAAUGGGCGAAAGCCUGAUCCAGCAAUGCCGCGUGAGUGAUGAAGGCCUUAGGGUUGUAAAGCUCUUUUACCGGGGAUGAUAAUGACAGUACCGGGAGAAUAA
RNAcentral lists this ribosomal RNA (130 nucleotides) under uncultured bacterium. RNAcentral describes it as "partial 16S ribosomal RNA". It matches the Rfam family "Bacterial small subunit ribosomal RNA", at positions 342 to 489 of the family's 1533-position model. The record is from RNAcentral.